Molecule: transfer RNA, 71 nt
Filed under: Dendropoma corrodens (ringed wormsnail)
Lineage: Eukaryota; Metazoa; Mollusca; Gastropoda; Littorinimorpha; Vermetidae
Description: tRNA-Val
Source: RNAcentral
GGUAGUGUAGCAUAGUUCAUAAUGCGCUUCAUUUACAUUGAAGAUUAUCUUUUAUACAUAAAGCAUUGCCU